RNAcentral lists this ribosomal RNA (265 nucleotides) under uncultured bacterium. Its description in RNAcentral is "partial 16S ribosomal RNA". It matches the Rfam family "Bacterial small subunit ribosomal RNA", at positions 95 to 354 of the family's 1533-position model. The record is from RNAcentral.
CCGGCGCACGGGUGAGUAACGCGUAUGCGACCUGCCCGUUGCAGGGGGGAUAAUCGGGAGAAAUCCCGUCUAAUACCGCGUAACGCCGCGGGGCUGCAUGGCCCUGCGGCCAAAGGGAGCGAUUCCGGCAACGGAUGGGCAUGCGUGACAUUAGCUAGUUGGCGGGGCAACGGCCCACCAAGGCGACGAUGUCUAGGGGUUCUGAGAGGGACGGUCCCCCACACUGGUACUGAGACACGGACCAGACUCCUACGGAAGGCAGCAG